Molecule: ribosomal RNA, 496 nt
Filed under: uncultured bacterium
Lineage: Bacteria
Description: partial 16S ribosomal RNA
Rfam family: Bacterial small subunit ribosomal RNA
Source: RNAcentral
GACGAACGCUGGCGGCGUGCCUAAUACAUGCAAGUUGAGCGCUGAAGGUUGGUACUUGUACCGACUGGAUGAGCAGCGAACGGGUGAGUAACGCGUGGGGAAUCUGCCUUUUAGCGGGGGACAACAUUUGGAAACGAAUGCUAAUACCGCAUAAAAACUUUAAACACAAGUUUUAAGUUUGAAAGAUGCAAUUGCAUCACUCAAAGAUGAUCCCGCGUUGUAUUAGCUAGUUGGUGGGGUAAAGGCUCACCAAGGCGAUGAUACGUAGCCGACCUGAGAGGGCGACCGGCCACAUUGGGACUGAGAAACGGCCCAAACUCCUACGGGAGGCAGCAGUGGGGAAUUUUGGGCAAUGGGCGAAAGCCUGACCCAGCAAGGCCGCGUGGGUGAAGAAGGUUUUCGGGUUGUAAAACUCUUUUGGGCGGAAAGAAAGUGUGGGGGAGGGGAAAGUCGCGCAAUGACGGUAACCGACGAAGAAGGGCGGGGUAAAUACGGG